AAGUGGCUGUUAACUAUUCUGUUAAAUGGUGUAGGCAAGUAUGUGGUUAUUUUUACUAAAUACAUUUCCUCUCUUUCUCUGUAUAGUCUUAGUAAACAACUGGCAGAAUAUGCAGACUGGGAAAACACAGGAGAAGCUUCUGCAGGUGGUCCACAAGGCGUCACAGUACUUAGCACUCCUCACCGGGCAGGAGCUGCUGGCUUUACACUGGGUGCACCUGCUGUGGACAGAGGAGGAAUGCAACAAUCUCCUAACCAGACAUCAAGAACAGGAGAAACAAGGAAAGCAAUAGAUGACUUUUCCCAAGGAGACUCGAUAAGCUCUGAGAAGGAGGGGAGCGAUGACAGUUGGCAUACUUCUGAGGAAGAAGAACUUGAUUUUACGCCCAAGAAGCUGCAGAAGCCAAACUUGACACUGUUAAUGAAUGCUUCACAGCAGUUCAGGAAAAACAAUGAUGGUGAUGGUUCUAGAACUGAAAGUCCUAAGUCCCCAAAGAAAAGCCUCAAACAAAGAACCCCGUCGGAUGCAAAUCUGAACAAAGGAGAAUGUGAAGAAUUGUUGAAUCAAGAUGUCUCGGAUGCAAGCAACCUAGAGGAAGAAGAAUCAGAGGAGGAGGAUGAGGAGGAUGAAAAUGACAAUGGAGAUGAGGAGGAAGAGGAGGGAGAGGAAGAGGAGGGAGAAGAGGAAGAGGGAGAGGAAGAGGAAGAUGAAGAUCUUACUCAAGAUGAAAAGGAGGAGGAAGAUCUGGAAGAUGAAGAAACUCAGUCUAAUGACAUACUGGAGGAGGAGCAGGGGAAGAAAACAGAACCUAAAGGGGAAAUUAAUCCGAAACUGGAGUAUUUUAGUAACGCUAAGUAUGAAGGGGAAGCUCAGUGUGGAACUGGAGAUGUCUGUGAUGAUGAUAAAAUAAGUAAAGAACUUGAUGAAAAGGUGGCAGAAUCUGUUGAUACUCCUGUGUCUUUUAUAGCUGGGUGUUAUGAAAGGGUGCAAGAAAAUAUAACUGCCAUGUCUCCAAAGAUAAUGAAUAAUGAAGUAUCUUGCAAGUCAGUACCAAAACAAGCUGUCUUUCAAAAUCUAAAUAAUUUGCAAGGUACACAAGAAAGUCGGAACAGGAAAAGCAUGAUUCAGGAGAAGUUUCACAAAAAUGCUGACUCCUGUUUUGCAGACUCUGAAAUGACAGACUGGAAAAAAGAGACACCUCAGCCUUUCACAGAUAGUUGUGGUCUUAAGGAGAAAAAGUCAAGCCUCGGUGAUGGCUUUGGAAGUGGUAACAAUUCUUGGUCAGUUACAAAAAACCCGAUGCUUGAAAGUCAAAGACCAAACUCUAUUGUUCUUGAACGUGUGAGUGAUGAAGAUACUGAAGAAGAGCAAUAUGAAGAAGUAGAUGAUAAAGUCUGUGAAACACCGAAACAAGAAUAUGAAAACUUGCGCUUAAAUAGGCAUGAAGAAAAUUUAAGGACAUCAUCUCGCUCAAGCACCAAAGAAGAAUCACCUGAAUGGGAAGAGGAGGAGCAGGAGAAGGGAGACACUGGUGAAGACCUGCAAACUGCAGUUGUUGAGGGUGUGAGAAAUUCUGUUUGUAAUGACAGCCAUCAGGUCCACAAUGCUUCAAAAGACAAUGCUGGUGCCCUACCAGCAGUGGAAGCAGAGGAAGGGGAUGAUGCUGAAUCUCUCUGGGAUUCUGAGAUUAUACAGACGGAUUCUGAAAGUCUGAGAAAAGUAUCGUCCAGCGUGUUGCUUCCAGCUGCAGACAGAUACGGAGCAUGCUCACAGAUUGUUUCAGGGGAACGUGACAAUGGCUUUUCAGAGAAACCCAGCAAUUCCCAGCUGAAGACUCCUGAAUCUGUUUUGGAAAUGAAUGAAACCUCUCCUAGAAAAAGGCAGCAGAAAUCAGAUCUGUUGGAGGAAUUUGGUUUAGGAGAUGCAGAGGAUAUUGAAGGUGAAUAUUCAGGAUCUACCUUUCAUAUGUCAUCAGCUGAAAAAGAAGACAUCAAGGAUGGCAUUGAAAACUGUGGGGUGCAGGUUGAGAAUGAAAAAGGUAAGCAAAGAUGUUCCGAAACACAGGUGGUGGCAAAACAGGAAGAUCUUGAUAAAUUACACACACCAGCAGGCAACGUUACUGAUCAGCAAAUGAAACAAAAUGUUACCCUAAAGAAGAAUGACCAUUUGAAAGUAGAGAAUGAAAACACUAUAGAAGAAGACAACAAAAAUAAUAUUUUGUCUGAGGAGAGAUCGACAUUGAUUAAAUUGCCAAUGAAAGGGUAAACUAAGGAAAUGAUCUCUAUUUCUUAUUUGUAGUACUACUUAAGUAUCUUUUAGGUUUUCUGAUAUUGUAGUAGUUGCAGUAGUUUCCUAUAUGCUGAGAGCCAUACUGUGAGUAGUCCACUGCUUCUCAAACAUUUUAGAAAAAGAAUUAUUUUUUUUUUUUAAGAAAAAACUAAGCUCAUAAUGGAGGUUAAAAUUUAU
RNAcentral lists this long non-coding RNA (2466 nucleotides) under Otus sunia (Oriental scops-owl). Its description in RNAcentral is "lncRNA (ENSOSUG00000011570.1)". The record is from RNAcentral. Lineage: Eukaryota; Metazoa; Chordata; Aves; Strigiformes; Strigidae.